RNAcentral lists this small RNA (2013 nucleotides) under Pongo abelii (Sumatran orangutan). RNAcentral's name for it is "retained intron". The record is from RNAcentral. Lineage: Eukaryota; Metazoa; Chordata; Mammalia; Primates; Hominidae.
UGGGAUUACGGGCAUGAGCCACGGCGCCUGGCCAGGGCUUCAUUUUCUAUAAAAGCAAAAAAACAACAUGCUUAAGAUUUUAAGAUGUUUAAUACUCAAUUUUGCAAUAGCCCCAUCUUCAAAAAUAUAUUGAGCUGAUUCUGUUGAAAGAGCAUUUGUGUGUGUGUGUGUGUGUGUGUAUAUAUGGAGGGGUGGAAACAAUGGUGUGUGUGUGUGUGUGUGUGUGUGUAUGGAGGGGUGGAAACAAUGAUAGAGAUUCUAAAUAAAUCCAAGAACUGUGAAGGGUUGGGUGAGAGGAGGACAGGCAGGGGCAUCUGGACAUGGGUGUGCAUGCACGGACCCGGCUGCAGCCGGGUGGCUGAUCAGCGGCACCUUGAAGACUUUACAGAGCGUUUCUGCCGUCUGCAGCCAUCCUGGCCCCGCCCAGCCUUGUUUCCCCUUUUACUGCAGCUCAUCUUCCCCGACCUGGUGGAGGGGCUGGUGCUGGUGAACAUCGACCCCAACGGCAAAGGCUGGAUAGACUGGGCUGCCACCAAGCUCUCCGGCCUAACUAGCACUUUACCCGACACGGUGCUCUCCCACCUCUUCAGCCAGGAGGAGCUGGUGAACAACACAGAGUUGGUGCAGAGCUACCGGCAGCAGAUUGGGAACGUGGUGAACCAGGCCAACCUGCAGCUCUUCUGGAACAUGUACAACAGCCACUUUCCUGGUGCUCUCUGGGCCCAGCUGGUGCUGUAGGGCUAGGCAGGCAGGGGUGUCAAGGGGUUUCUCUGCCCAAGGAAGACAGAACAUGGAGAACCGUGAGGGCAGGAACCCCACAGACUGUCCCUUCCAGCCCACACUCUGCUAUCUCCUGGCCCUGUCCCAUUUCUGAGCCAAGGCCUCCCCGAGGCAGAAGUUGCCUGGUCCUCUGUCCCCACAGUGACCUGACUGGGGGUGAGGGAGGAGGAGGAGAGAGCCCAUGUGUGAUGUGUGUGUGCCCCUGAGAACUUCGUGGUGACUGCCUUUGGGAGCCCGCAGGUGGCCAGAGGCAGGGGUAGCUGAGUUCCUGGAGACCCCUUUUUUGCCCCCAGGUUCCCAAGAGGGCAACGCCAUCAGUAGCAGUAUGGUGUUUCAGGCAGAGCUCUGGCCAGGCUGUGCCAGUGUGUCCCGGAAGCAUCACUAAGGAAGACAGAGUUUUAGUCAACUGGCCCAAGGCAGCGAGGCUUCCACAGUCCCACCCCCCAUAGCCGCCUGGGCUGGGGCUUACUGGGGGCUGAAUGUUCUGGACAUGAACAAGGGUCAGGUAGAGGAGAAAGGCUUCCCCUACACUGCAGCCUCCUGCUGUCCCCUGAAGCUCAGGACUGCGAUGUAUGCUUUCCAACCACUCACCUUACCCCAUAGCAUCUUGUGGCCCAGAAACCAGAGCCAUUUGUCUCGGACCCUAAAUCAAUGGUCACAAACCCCAAAACAGAGAGGGGAGAGAACAGUGAAAACAUGAAGGGCUGUGGAGGGGGGAAGGGUUGUGGCGGGUGUUCUGAGGCUGAGAGGACACCUAUAUGCGUAUUUCCUCUACACACAUCACCCCCCUUCUAUAAUCUUAAGCCAUGACUAGCCUGGUGGCGUGUUAGUUUCUGCCCAGUUCUACCCCCUCAUGUGCUUCUUCUGAAUACUGAAUGUGACUGUUUGAAAACUGGUAGAAUUCAUCCCUCUUACUGUAGAUAGCACUGCAAAUCUUGGAAUUUUGUUUUUUUGCUGUUUCCAGAUAUAUCUAUCUAUAAAUAUCUAUACAUUAUAUAUAUAUGUGUGUGUGUGUGUACAUCGGGUCCUCCCAUGUAUGGUGUUCCUCCAGAGAUUGUCUCUUUGGUCAAGGUGAACUUUUAAUGUUUAUUAUUUUCUUCUCCGCACAAAGUAAAGAGCCUAAUUUUGUGUAUUCUGGUGGCUGCUGUCAUGAGAUGACAAAAUGUAAAACAAAACUCUAGUCAACGUAGAAAGAGUUAACUGUGCUGAAAAACUAAUAAAGAACCUAAGAAG